This 519-nucleotide ribosomal RNA is filed under the name uncultured bacterium. Its description in RNAcentral is "bacterial SSU rRNA". It matches the Rfam family "Bacterial small subunit ribosomal RNA", at positions 26 to 518 of the family's 1533-position model. The record is from RNAcentral.
AGGACGAACGCUGGCGGCGUGCCUAAUACAUGCAAGUCGAACGGUCUUUCUAUGGAAGCUUGCUCCACUGAGAAGAUAGUGGCGAACGGGUGGGUAACACGUGGGUAACCUGCCCAUAAGAGGGGGGAUAACAUCCGGAAACGGGUGCUAAUACCGCAUAGUUUUCUUGAUCGCAUGAUUGGGAAAGGAAAGACGGCCUUUGUGCUGUCGCUUAUGGAUGGACCCGCGGCGUAUUAGUUAGUUGGUGAGGUAACGGCUCACCAAGACGAUGAUACGUAGCCGACCUGAGAGGGUGAUCGGCCACAUUGGGACUGAGACACGGCCCAAACUCCUACGGGAGGCAGCAGUAGGGAAUCUUCCGCAAUGGACGAAAGUCUGACGGAGCAACGCCGCGUGAGUGAAAGAAGGUUUUCGGAUCGUAAAACUCUGUUGUCAGAGAAGAACAAGUUGGAGAGUAACUGCUCCAGCCUUGACGGUAUCUGACCAGAAAGCCACGGCUAACUACGUGCCAGCCGCCGC